GCACAAUUUAAAUCCCUUAGCGAGGAACAUUUGGAGGGCAAGUCUGGUGCCAGCAGCCGCGGUAAUUCCAGCUCCAAUAGCGUAUAUUAAAGUUGUUGCAGUUAAAAAGCUCGUAGUUGAAUUUCAGCCCUGGCUGGGCGGUCCAGCCUCUUUCGUUGGUACUGCUUCUUGGCCGGGGUUUUCCCCUUCUGGUGAGACGGCAUGCUCUUAACUGGG
RNAcentral lists this ribosomal RNA (216 nucleotides) under uncultured Endogonales. RNAcentral describes it as "partial 18S ribosomal RNA". It matches the Rfam family "Eukaryotic small subunit ribosomal RNA", at positions 518 to 733 of the family's 1831-position model. The record is from RNAcentral. Lineage: Eukaryota; Fungi; Mucoromycota; Endogonomycetes; Endogonales.